AACACACAUACUGCCCUUCCAAACAAUCAGCUCAAAGCUUCAUUUAACAUUAUGAAAUGUGAACAGAGCUUGUGGCUGAUUUAUUGUCACAAGAGACUUACUUAACCACAUAGAUAUCUCAAACUGUUAAGAUAGCACUUUUCAACCACUGCUACUUUAAACAAUAAACAAUUUGCAAUAGCUAUGAAACUCAAAAAUCACCUUACCUGCAAAACACAUGAUCCGGGUG
This 229-nucleotide unclassified non-coding RNA is filed under the name Hevea brasiliensis (rubber tree). The record is from RNAcentral. Lineage: Eukaryota; Viridiplantae; Streptophyta; Magnoliopsida; Malpighiales; Euphorbiaceae.